AAGUCGUAACAAGGUUUCCGUAGGUGAACCUGCGGAAGGAUCAUUACAAGAUUUUGGGGAUGCCACUUUGUGGGUCCUUGUGCCAAACUCUAAAUAUGUACCUACUAAUAGAAACACUACAAGUCUGACCAGGCUAUAUGCCACUUUAAUAGAAUAAGUUAAAACUUUCAACAACGGAUCUCUUGGCUCUCGCAUCGAUGAAGAACGCAGCGAAAUGCGAUAAGUAAUGUGAAUUGCAGAAUUCCGUGAAUCAUUGAAUCUUUGAACGCACAUUGCGCCCUUUGGUAUUCCUUAGGGCAUGCCUGUUCGAGCGUCACUAAAAACCCCUCUCACAUGUAAUGUGGUGCUGGCUGAAGUGAAGGGAAUUACCCCCAAUUGUCACUCAGUUGAAAUUUAUUGCACAGACAACUAAUUCUGACAAAUGACUUUGUAGACGUUAUUGAGCGUAUAAAUCAGUCAGGAGUUGGUAAAGUUGGGCAUACCUGGACCCCCAUCCAGUAUAUCAA
This 506-nucleotide ribosomal RNA is filed under the name uncultured Tuber. RNAcentral's name for it is "eukaryotic LSU rRNA". The stretch from base 163 to 316 matches the Rfam family "5.8S ribosomal RNA". Lineage: Eukaryota; Fungi; Ascomycota; Pezizomycetes; Pezizales; Tuberaceae. The record is from RNAcentral.